GACUGUCAGGCAGUCAGAAGAUGGGAAGCUCACAUCUGAGCCCUAGCUAUUAACACUAGGGUUUUAUUUAGGGAACAUUAUGGACUUUAAGUGACUCUGUAAAGAUACCACAUACUAUUACUGGAAAAUAAAGGUGUGCAGAAAGGCAGAUUCAAGCCACAUUUAUUCUAACUGUCUUUAGCAUGAAUUUGAUUAAAAUGAGAAAGUUAGCAUUGAUGCAUCUAAACUACAUAGGUUUUGCUUCAUUAAAACGGUCAUUUGUUGAGGGCUCUGAUCGUAGGAAAGAAGGAGUGACCUUCCGUUGAAUAUCCAACAUAAAACGAACUUCACCAAGGUAAAGCAAAAGUUGUUAUCUUUACUUAAAACUAACCAUGAAGUCCGUCUAGGAGUUGCAUUUAUUUAUUCCCUUCAAAGCUACAUGCUCGAUUUGCAAACCAUCAGUAGCAUAAUCACUUCAAUGGUCGCUCCUUUACGAGUGACGUUUGAUGUAAGUGAAACUGGCUAAAAUCAACCAAAAACAACGUGCAGUAAAAUCAUAGCUGCAGCACGAGGUCCACUUCAACAACAGACAGCUACGACGUUUACGGAUUAACAGAGCAAUAUACUGCGAGAAUAAUGUGAAUCAUCGCGAGAGAUCACGUGACUACAGCAGAUGGACUCCACAGCAGCAUUUGUUCUGCUGUUGCAGGGAACUGCCAGUCACCACUGACCAUCCCUGCAAACGGCUGAGCAAAUGACCAUCCGCACACUGUGGAGCUGAAGCCAUCCAUUAGCUGGCAAGAUCACACUUUGUAAAUCGACCAGCAGCCGUGAUUGUUCGUGGUGAUACAUCUUUUAAAAAUCAAAAAAUAAUUAAAGAAAUCAUUGUUUUAAUCAAAUAGUUAUUCAUAGUCAUUCUAUUCUGGCUUGUUUAAAAUGUUCCACUUUUUCUUUGAAUGUGCCUUUAUUGUGUGCUUCAUUUGCACUUUCCAUGCUUUUGGCGUUUUAUGUAAAGCACUUUGGCGAAAUGUGCUAUAUAAAUAAAGUUGCCAUGCCUUGUC
Molecule: long non-coding RNA, 1040 nt
Organism: Eleginops maclovinus (Patagonian blennie)
Lineage: Eukaryota; Metazoa; Chordata; Actinopteri; Perciformes; Eleginopidae
Exons: 3
Source: RefSeq, a predicted model, not a curated record